Paramormyrops kingsleyae is the source of this 1692-nucleotide long non-coding RNA. RefSeq lists it as uncharacterized. The record is from RefSeq and is a predicted model, not a curated record. NCBI's taxonomy places the organism in Eukaryota, Metazoa, Chordata, Actinopteri, Osteoglossiformes, Mormyridae.
AGAACUAUAGCCUACAUCUUUUGUGUAUCUCUUUUGAGAUACAGCACUACAUUUAUGUUCAGAAAACUGUAUGUGUAACUUAAAUUUGUAAAUAUUCUAUUGGUAUCGGCAAGUUAGUAUUUACUGUGAAGCCCUGUUAGACCCUGAGCAGAUUACAGCUGUAAAGGCAAAAGUUAAGUUUGUUGUAUUUCUUUCCUAUUUUUUAAAGCAGCAAUCUUGUAUUGAAAUGUUUGAUUUCAGUCUGAGCUUUAUUACUAUCUUUGCCUGUGCCUUGUAGUUGCACUAUAUCAACAUUCAAUGUACAUUUGGUCACUAAGGUUUGAAUGGAAGUACAGAAAAGACAUUUCAUUUGAGUUUCAAGGCAAACUGGGAAGCAGCUGCAGUGCAGCCUAACUUACUGAGAUUCUCAAAACAUGCUGCCACCCUCCUCCCUUACAAAGGUUUAAGGUUAGAAUUUCAGGAUCCAGGUCUAGGAUCCAUUUCUGCUCCAAAAUGUUAUGAUGAAGUGGCUUCUGCAGCGACAAAUUGCAAAGACCAGAUGACGUAUUUCCAAAGCAGUCACCGUGCCUGUACUCACCCAAACUAAGCAGUUCAUCAGCCAGCGGACCGAAGCAAACCCUGAAUAUGGGACACUCUUCCAUGACAAACCAAAAAAUUGCUGGUAUCUACACUCGGCUUGAUGGAGCUGCAAGUUGAUUCGGAUAAGCUUUGGAUUUUCCAGAGGAGCACACCAAUAAAAAACCUUCCUGACGUAUUUAAUCGUGGACAGUUUAAGCUGUGUUGUCUUGUAUAGGCAGCAGCAUUAAUUUUAUAUUGUUUAUUCACAGUAAAUUGAAUUAUAUUGAUAUCAAUAUUAUUGAUAACCCCUCCUUUUAAGAAAGGGGGGCAGUUCUCAUUCCAGUAUAGCAUCCAAAGCUUUAACUAAUGUGUUUUUUUUUCCUCAAAUCAAUGUCUUUUAUCUUAGGUGAAACAAUAAAAAUGGCAAACAAGGGCAAUUCUGUUAUCUCAGCCCCCUGUAGGGGUGUGUUAGCAUUUUUUUGCAGUUACUAAUUUAAAAUCACUGGAUGAUUCCAGUUAGCAGUCUCAGAGUAUGUUUCUUUAUUUCUAUGGGUGAGUUGGAGCGGGAACUCAAAGUAGCAUGAUUUGUAAGAGUAUCACUUUUACUGGUGAAUAUGUUUCCUGCAAUAUACCUGUUUAUUUACCUGACAGUUCUGUCCAAAACAACACACAAACAAACAUCUGUAAGGGGGGCAGUUUCCAAGGGCUGCUAGGUCUGGGACCAGUGAAUGUGAGAUACUUAAUGGGAAACAAAGCUAUGCAAAACAUCAUAGAAGCCAGUUCAGAAAAACUAUUCAAAUAAGUAGCACCAAGAUAGUCUAGAUGGAACUAAGUCUAAGUAGAAAAUACAGCAGAGUAUUAUGUAGCACCAAGGGAAACCAUGACCAGUGCAGAAAAAGAGUUGGUUGGUGGUAGGAAAUUUCUGGAAGAGACCGAUCUUAAGAGAUUUCUUUAUAGUUGUGAGCGAUUCAUGUAAGUAUGUGGUUUGUUGACGAGUUAACCAGUCCUAAAAGGGGUUGCGCAGUGACCUGAUGCUGCUUAAUGUCACAACCUUGAGCUGGAAUCUUUUUUUUUUUUUUUAUUGCCCACCACCACCCCCCCUCUUCGGAGGACAACUUUAUUUUACAUUACAUU